Molecule: ribosomal RNA, 336 nt
Filed under: uncultured Streptococcus sp.
Lineage: Bacteria; Bacillati; Bacillota; Bacilli; Lactobacillales; Streptococcaceae
Description: bacterial SSU rRNA
Rfam family: Bacterial small subunit ribosomal RNA
Source: RNAcentral
CAUGGUUGUCGUCAGCUCGUGUCGUGAGAUGUUGGUUAAGUCCCGCAACGAGCGCAACCCCUAUUGUUAGUUGCCAUCAUUCAGUUGGGCACUCUAGCGAGACUGCCGGUAAUAAACCGGAGGAAGGUGGGGAUGACGUCAAAUCAUCAUGCCCCUUAUGACCUGGGCUACACAUGUGCUACAAUGGUUGGUACAACGAGUUGCGAGUCGGUGACGGCGAGCUAAUCUCUUAAAGCCAAUCUCAGUUCGGAUUGUAGGCUGCAACUCGCCUACAUGAAGUCGGAAUCGCUAGUAAUCGCGGAUCAGCACGCCGCGGUGAAUACGUUCCCGGGCCUU